Long non-coding RNA from Thalassophryne amazonica, 110 nucleotides. RefSeq lists it as uncharacterized. Lineage: Eukaryota; Metazoa; Chordata; Actinopteri; Batrachoidiformes; Batrachoididae. The transcript is spliced from 3 exons. The record is from RefSeq and is a predicted model, not a curated record.
GGCGGCACAGUGGAUUAGUGGUUAGUACUGGUGCAUCACAGCAAGAAGGUCGUGAGAUCGCUUCCCGUCCUUUCCCUAUUGUGUCUGUGUGGAGUUUGUAUGUUCUUCUC